AGCGAACGCUGGCGGCAGGCUUAACACAUGCAAGUCGAGCGGGCAUCCUUGUGGUGUCAGCGGCAGACGGGUGAGUAACGCGUGGGAACGUGCCCUUCGGUUCGGAAUAACUCAGGGAAACUUGAGCUAAUACCGGAUACGUGCGAGAGCAGAAAGGUUUAUCUGCCGAAGGAUCGGCCCGCGUCUGAUUAGCUAGUUGGUGAGGUUAUGGCUCACCAAGGCGACGAUCAGUAGCUGGUCUGAGAGGAUGAUCAGCCACACUGGGACUGAGACACGGCCCAGACUCCUACGGGAGGCAGCAGUGGGGAAUGUUGGACAAUGGGGGCAACCCUGAUCCAGCCAUGCCGCGUGAGUGAUGACGGCCUUAGGGUUGUAAAGCUCUUUUCUCCGGGACGAUAAUGACGGUACCGGAGGAAUAAGCCCCGGCUAACUUCGUG
This 437-nucleotide ribosomal RNA is filed under the name uncultured bacterium. RNAcentral describes it as "partial 16S ribosomal RNA". It matches the Rfam family "Bacterial small subunit ribosomal RNA", at positions 29 to 507 of the family's 1533-position model. The record is from RNAcentral.